GAGAACCAUCACACAGGUGCUGCAUGGCUGUCGUCAGCUCGUGUCGUGAGAUGUUGGGUUAAGUCCCGCAACGAGCGCAACCCUUGUCAUUAGUUGCUACGAAAGGGCACUCUAAUGAGACUGCCGGUGACAAACCGGAGGAAGGUGGGGAUGACGUCAAGUCCUCAUGGCCCUUAUGGGUAGGGCUUCACACGUCAUACAAUGGUACAUACAGAGGGCCGCCAACCCGCGAGGGGGAGCUAAUCCCAGAAAGUGUAUCGUAGUCCGGAUUGGAGUCUGCAACUCGACUCCAUGAAGUUGGAAUCGCUAGUAAUCGCGGAUCAGCAUGUCGCGGUGAAUACGUUCCCAGGUCUUGUACACAC
Molecule: ribosomal RNA, 362 nt
Filed under: uncultured bacterium
Lineage: Bacteria
Description: bacterial SSU rRNA
Rfam family: Bacterial small subunit ribosomal RNA
Source: RNAcentral